Molecule: ribosomal RNA, 106 nt
Filed under: Danio rerio (zebrafish)
Lineage: Eukaryota; Metazoa; Chordata; Actinopteri; Cypriniformes; Danionidae
Source: RNAcentral
AGCCAUAGCCAUAUCACCCUGCAGUUACUUACUAAAGCUAAGCAGGGCUGAGCCUGGUCAGUACUUUGAUGGGAGACCACAUGGGAAAACUAGGUUGCUGUUGGAA